Long non-coding RNA from Homo sapiens (human), 1356 nucleotides. Lineage: Eukaryota; Metazoa; Chordata; Mammalia; Primates; Hominidae. The record is from Ensembl.
CCCCUCUACGGUGUCCUUGCAAAGUGUGGCAGUCACUACAGGUUUGAGGAAGGCUCUGUCGCUGCUCUGGCCGUAGGCACAGCGGACUCUGGAGGACACUGGAGAUGAACAAACCGUGUGGAUGCCCUCAAGAUGUGUACAACUAUAGAACAGGAGAUGGGUACGACCAUAGAACAGGAGAUGGGAGGGUCCAACCAUGGACCGGGUUCCGCCAGUAUGAGCCAUGAGCCAGUUGAAUCUGAAUGCAAAGAACAAGGACCGACUGGAGUCACAAUGCUUAACGGACCAAUGCUUUCUGACUCAGCUCCUCUCUACCCUGAAUAAAGAGACCCUAAUAGUUAGGCAGGAGUAUCAUCACCCCUGUUCAGCAUGAAGAAGUUACAGAAGAUGGACGUUCAUCCUUCUGCAACCCCUAGGAUUAAGGGUCCUCUUGUAAAAGGGAAAGGGGAGGUAUGUGGGAAGCAUUCAAACCAGAGUGACUCCAGUUUGAAAAAGGGCUAAGAAAAAUGAAGCUGGAUCACCAACUGGCAAUUAAGGAGUGCACAGCCUACAAUUGCCUUGCUCAGUUAAAAAAGGCCACCUUUUAUGCUAGUAAUAAUGAUAGCAAUAGUGAUACCUUCUCUUUUACAAAGAAGAGAAGGGGGACAUGUUGGGAAAAAGCUGAGUAUUGGGAAGAAAGCUGAGGCAGUGCUUGCAUGUCUGACAUAAUGUCCUCUGGAAUGUGUCUAGACUUGCUGGCUUCUUGCUUCUAGCCCUCCUAGGCUCCUAAAUAGAUUGUAUUCCCAUCAUCUCAAGUACCAGAACAUGUUCCUUAUAAAUGCUAAACCAUCACAGCUAUAGAUCAGGCACCUGCCCUUUUGACCGCCACAUUCUCACCACCUGUUUCUUUGUUGGAUUACCAAUAAAUAGUGUGGGCUCCCAGAGCUUGGGGCCUUUGCAGCCUCCCCAAUCGCGAUGGCCCCUGGUUCCACUUUACUUCUCAAACUGUCUUUUUCUCAACCCUUUGACUCUGCCAGACUUCGUCACCCCCACGACCUGGUGUUGGGUCUGAUCACCCCAACGACCUAUAUUUUGUGCUACCCUCUUAUCUCAUUCUGUGACUAAGAAUGCCUAACCUCCUGGGAAGGCAGCCCAGUAGGUCUGAGCCUUAUUUUUCUCAGUCCUUAUUCAAGAUGGAGUUGCUCUGGUUCGAAUGCCUCUGACACUUAGAGCUUUGUUGUUGAAAACUGAAUUAUAUACUGUACUUUUUCUUUUCUCUUAUUGAAAAAUCAUCCUACUUUGUUGAUUAUUUUCUGUAACGUCUUGAGGUAAUUUAAAAUUCCACCUGUCUCCAUCAGAGAGACAGGGACUCUUGUC